UACGGAGGGGCUAGCGUUGUUCGGAAUUACUGGGCGUAAAGCGCACGUAGGCGGCUUUGUAAGUUAGAGGUGAAAGCCCAGGGCUUAACCCUGGAAUUGCCUUUAAGACUGCAUCGCUAGAAUCGUGGAGAGGUGAGUGGAAUUCCGAGUGUAGAGGUGAAAUUCGUAGAUAUUCGGAAGAACACCAGUGGCGAAGCGACUCACUGACACGUAUUGACGCUGAGUGCGAAGCGUGGAGCAACAGG
This 245-nucleotide ribosomal RNA is filed under the name uncultured bacterium. Its description in RNAcentral is "partial 16S ribosomal RNA". It matches the Rfam family "Bacterial small subunit ribosomal RNA", at positions 524 to 776 of the family's 1533-position model. The record is from RNAcentral.